UGCGGGGUAGAGCAGUGGUAGCUCAUUGGGCUCAUAACCCAAAGGUCGGAGGUUCGAUCCCUUCCCCCGCCA
This 72-nucleotide transfer RNA is filed under the name Clostridiales bacterium. RNAcentral's name for it is "tRNA-Met". It matches the Rfam family "tRNA". From Rfam's summary of the family: Transfer RNA (tRNA) molecules are approximately 80 nucleotides in length. Their secondary structure includes four short double-helical elements and three loops (D, anti-codon, and T loops). RNAcentral also lists the same sequence under 1 other name. Lineage: Bacteria; Bacillati; Bacillota; Clostridia; Eubacteriales. The record is from RNAcentral.